Molecule: long non-coding RNA, 557 nt
Filed under: Sinocyclocheilus anshuiensis
Lineage: Eukaryota; Metazoa; Chordata; Actinopteri; Cypriniformes; Cyprinidae
Description: lncRNA (ENSSANG00000020930.1)
Source: RNAcentral
ACCUAAAUAGAUACAGAAUAUGACCUCUAAUAAUAAUAAUAUUAUUUCCAUAGAAAACCUUCCCCAGUGAGGGCUCCAGCCGAACAGCCAGUGUUCACUUUCUACAUUUAUGCUGUUCUGGACAAAAAAUUCAGAUUUAACAGACAGCAUGACUCUCUUUUGCUCCUUCAAGGGAAUAAAGUCUUUGAACUACAGAUUACAUAUUUUUUGGGUCUACAACAGGAAGGCUAUUUGAUUGAAGCAACAUUUUCACUUUGGCAAGGCAUUGACAGGGGUGUUCCAAUAGAAUACAGAUAUGCAGUUCAGAAACAAAGUGGCCCCAUUAUGGAAACAGCAUUAAGACGUGUUUAUGUCCCCACUGAAAAUACAGUAAAAGAAUGGCACCUUUAUGAAGGUUACAUAAGUUCAAGUUCAAGAUCUGUUAAAGAACGGGUGACGGACUGGAUCUUUCAGAAUGCACAAGAAGAAAUUUGCAAACGCUGGGAGACAUCUGCACAUGCACUGCUGGACAGAGUGUUUAAGAAAUGGGGGUCAUUUAAUGAUGAAGACAACAAGAC